AUGUUCUGUAACCAUGUGAGCACGGGAGGUGUUUAUCGUCACAAGCAGCAUGUGGCUCAUAUUGGUAAUGAUGUGGUCAAAUGCAAGAAAAGCUCUCAGGAAGCUAAAGACAGGUGCAAGAAAUCUCUUGAGGAUGCAUCUAAUAAGAGGAGGGAAAAGACUGCCCGUGAGCAAGAGCUUAGACAAAGUGUGAACAUUUCUCGCGUUGGAGAUGAAGAAGCUGCUCAUAUCGGAAGCACGGAGCCACACAAAUUAGGUCCUAUUGACAAGUGGGCACGGCCUAUUGAUCCUAAAUUGACUCAAGCUGAAGCCUUGCAUCAACAGAAGAUAAACAAGGAAUUUUGGAAAAAGAGAACACAUGAAGUGCAACAGUAUGUGGCUAGAUGGGUGUACAAUCAUGCUAUACCAUUCAAUGCUUGUGACAAUGAUGAUUUCAAGUUAAUGUGUGAAGCCAUUGGGAGGUUUGGCACUGGAUUUGAGCCGCCAUCUAAACAUGACCUUCGAGAGACUUUGCUGAGUGAGGAACAUGCAAGAGUGAAGAGUUUGCUGCAAGAACGUGAUGCUGAAAAGAUGAAGAAUGGCUGCUCCAUUAUGACUGAUGCUCGGUCAGAUAGGAAGAGGAGAAGCAUAAUGAACUUGUGCACAAACAGUGCUGAUGGUUCUAGUUUUAUAAGGCCGAGUGAGAUGUCGGAUGUAUCACACACAAGUGAAGUCAUCUUCCAAUUAGUGGAUGAAGCAAUUGAAGAAGUAGGUCCUGAAAAUGUGGUCCAAGUAGUGACUGAUAAUGCUUCUAAUAACAUGGGGGCAAAGAAGAUGUUGUUGGAGAAGCGGCCAAACAUGUUUUGGAGCUCUUGUGCGACGCACACCAUUAACUUGAUGUUGCAAGGAAUUGGCGAUCUGCCAAGGUUUAGUAAGGUACUUGAAAAAGAAAAAGCAUUCACUAUCUUUGUCUAUGGGCACACACGGACCUUGGACUGCAUGAGACACUUCUCUUCAAGGAAAGAGAUCAUAAGGCCAGGGGUCACUAUAGGUUUGCUUCUGCUUAUCUAA
This 1050-nucleotide ribosomal RNA is filed under the name Triticum aestivum (bread wheat). RNAcentral's name for it is "partial small subunit ribosomal RNA". The record is from RNAcentral. Lineage: Eukaryota; Viridiplantae; Streptophyta; Magnoliopsida; Poales; Poaceae.